Molecule: ribosomal RNA, 405 nt
Filed under: uncultured bacterium
Lineage: Bacteria
Description: partial 16S ribosomal RNA
Rfam family: Bacterial small subunit ribosomal RNA
Source: RNAcentral
UGGGAAUUUGGACGAAUGGGCGAAGCCUGAUCCAGCAAUGCCGCGUGUGUGAAGAAGGCCUUCGGGUUGUAAAGCACUUUUGUCCGGAAAGAAAUCCUUGGCUCUAAUACAGUCGGGGGAUGACGGUACCGGAAGAAUAAGCACCGGCUAACUACGUGCCAGCAGCCGCGGUAAUACGUAGGGUGCAAGCGUUAAUCGGAAUUACUGGGCGUAAAGCGUGCGCAGGCGGUUUGCUAAGACCGAUGUGAAAUCCCCGGGCUCAACCUGGGAACUGCAUUGGUGACUGGCAGGCUAGAGUAUGGCAGAGGGGGGUGAGAAUUCCACGUGUAGCAGUGAAAUGCGUAGAGAUGUGGAGGAAUACCGAUGGCGAAGGCAGCCCCUGGCAAGUACUGACGCUCAUGCACG